Molecule: ribosomal RNA, 200 nt
Filed under: uncultured bacterium
Lineage: Bacteria
Description: partial 16S ribosomal RNA
Rfam family: Bacterial small subunit ribosomal RNA
Source: RNAcentral
AGAGUUUGAUCAUGGCUCAGAUUGAACGCUGGCGGUAUGCUUAACACAUGCAAGUCGAACGGCAGCACGGUACGUAGCAAUACGUAUGGGUGGCGAGUGGCGGACGGGUGAGUAACACGUAGGAAUCUGCCCUAUAGAGGGGGAUAACUCGAGGAAACUCGAGCUAAUACCGCAUAAUCUCUAAGGAGUAAAGCUGGGUU